CAUCGAUGUGAUGAUAUUUUUCCCCGGAUGCCAUGGCAAAUGUUGGUUCGGAAAAUCAGACUACAAUUAUCUGAUCGAUG
Molecule: small nucleolar RNA, 80 nt
Organism: Nymphaea colorata (pocket water lily)
Lineage: Eukaryota; Viridiplantae; Streptophyta; Magnoliopsida; Nymphaeales; Nymphaeaceae
Product: small nucleolar RNA Z155
Exons: 1
Source: RefSeq, a predicted model, not a curated record